AUAUCGAAGAGAGGUCGCAAGUGAUAUCAGUAACUGUUUUCAGAUGGUAAAGCAUCGUUUAAAAACAGUGAAAGGAGAGCUUGCCGAAGCAAGUGCUGCUUUAACAGCACUGUGUUGGGCUCCUGUUUAAAAGACUGGAGACUGUCGCGAAUUUCGCGGAGAGCUAUCGAGUAU
Molecule: non-coding RNA, 174 nt
Filed under: Liquorilactobacillus oeni
Lineage: Bacteria; Bacillati; Bacillota; Bacilli; Lactobacillales; Lactobacillaceae
Also listed under: 1 other name
Description: Lactobacillus oeni Lysine sequence
Rfam family: Lysine riboswitch aptamer
About the family: Riboswitches are metabolite binding domains within certain messenger RNAs that serve as precision sensors for their corresponding targets. Allosteric rearrangement of mRNA structure is mediated by ligand binding, and this results in modulation of gene expression. This family includes riboswitches that sense lysine in a number of genes involved in lysine metabolism, including lysC.
Source: RNAcentral